ACCUUCACAAAUAGCUCAGCUGGUAGAGCAUGAGAUCCAUGCUGUCAGGGUCGUGGGUUAGAGCCCCACAUUGGGCA
This is a non-coding RNA of Podarcis lilfordi (Lilford's wall lizard), 77 nucleotides long. NCBI's taxonomy places the organism in Eukaryota, Metazoa, Chordata, Lepidosauria, Squamata, Lacertidae. The record is from the annotation of a GenBank genome assembly.